AAUGGCCGCAGUAUUUUAACUGUGCAAAGGUAGCAUAAUCAUUAGUCUUUUAAUUGAAGGCUUGUAUGAAUGGUUGAACGAGAUAUUAACUGUUUCAUAAAAAUUGAGUUAGAAUUUUAUUUUUUAGUUAAAAAGCUAAAAUUUUUUUAAAAGACGAGAAGACCCUAUAGAUCUUUAUAGUUUAUUUGUUGUAGUUAUUUAGAUUAUUUAAAUUAUAAUUAUGUGAACUAUUUUGUUGGGGUGACAUUAAAAUUUAAUAAACUUUUAAUUAAUUUUUACAUUUAUUCAUGAUUGAUUGAUCCAUUAUUAGUGAUUAUAAAAUUAAGUUACCUUAGGGAUAACAGCGUAAUUUUUUUGAAGAGUUCAUAUCGAUAAAAAAGAUUGCGACCUCGAUGUUGGAUUAAGAUAUAAUUAUGGGUGCAGCAAUUCAAUAAUUAAGUC
This 441-nucleotide ribosomal RNA is filed under the name Entesia sp. MEI 106357. Its description in RNAcentral is "partial 16S ribosomal RNA". It matches the Rfam family "Bacterial large subunit ribosomal RNA", at positions 1926 to 2577 of the family's 2925-position model. Lineage: Eukaryota; Metazoa; Arthropoda; Insecta; Diptera; Therevidae. The record is from RNAcentral.